AUUAAAGCUUGUGCUGUCUUUUUACCUUUUGUUGCUGUGCUGGUUGGUAAUAUAGAUGAAACAUUUUCUACUAUCUGCUCACUUAAAUUCAAGAUUUGAAUGGAUGUCUCUGAGACAGAUUUAUGAAUUUUAGAAAUUUCUAUAUGUGUGGUGUUACAAGGCAUACAGUUUUCUAGUUUGUGCUGUUUGCGCUCUGUUUCAGAAAUUUUCAACCAUUGAAUUAAAUUAAAAUGGUUAAUAAAUGUCUCCCUUUCUCCACCUUGAUUUCUGUUUUCAUAGUGUUUUGCAUUUGUUACAUACUCCUGAAUCCUUGCUGUUUUUUGACAAUAUAACUUAAAAUUGUUGAUUUGCAUAGAUGGAUAUUU
This 365-nucleotide long non-coding RNA is filed under the name Mytilus galloprovincialis (Mediterranean mussel). The record is from RNAcentral. Lineage: Eukaryota; Metazoa; Mollusca; Bivalvia; Mytilida; Mytilidae.